GUGGCGGACGGGUGAGUAACACGUGGGAACGUGCCCUUUGGUACGGAAUAACUCAGGGAAACUUGAGCUAAUACCGUAUGUGCCCUUCGGGGGAAAGAUUUAUCGCCAUUGGAGCGGCCCGCGUCUGAUUAGCUAGUUGGUGAGGUAACGGCUUACCAAGGCGACGAUCAGUAGCUGGUCUGAGAGGAUGACCAGCCACAUUGGGACUGAGACACGGCCCAAACUCCUACGGGAGGCAGCAGUGGGGAAUCUUGCGCAAUGGGCGAAAGCCUGACGCAGCCAUGCCGCGUGGAUGAUGAAGGUCUUAGGAUUGUAAAAUCCUUUCACCGGUGAAGAUAAUGACUGUAGCCGGAGAAGAAGCCCCGGCUAACUUCGUGCCAGCAGCCGCGGUAAUACGAAGGGGGCUAGCGUUGCUCGGAAUUACUGGGCGUAAAGGGCGCGUAGGCGGACAUUUAAGUCAGGGGUGAAAUCCCAGAGCUCAACUCUGGAACUGCCUUUGAUACUGGAUGUCUUGAGUGUGAGAGAGGUAUGUGGAACUCCGAGUGUAGAGGUGAAAUUCGUAGAUAUUCGGAAGAACACCAGUGGCGAAGGCGACAUACUGGCUCAUUACUGACGCUGAGGCGCGAAAGCGUGGGGAGCAAACAGGAUUAGAUACCCUGGUAGUCCAC
This 668-nucleotide ribosomal RNA is filed under the name uncultured Brevundimonas sp. RNAcentral describes it as "bacterial SSU rRNA". It matches the Rfam family "Bacterial small subunit ribosomal RNA", at positions 95 to 798 of the family's 1533-position model. Lineage: Bacteria; Pseudomonadati; Pseudomonadota; Alphaproteobacteria; Caulobacterales; Caulobacteraceae. The record is from RNAcentral.